GGCAUUUGGGAUCCACCACGAACAGUGAAACAGAGAUCCGUGCCCUCGGGGAGCUGACAGUCUGGCGAGGGGACAACAGUGAACAUCAAACAUGAUAACUAGGAUCCCACCCAGGAUUUAGUCGUCAUCUCUCCUUAGGCUUCUCUCGGCUGUGACAGUUUCAGAUCCUUCUUUCUGAUGACCUUGACAGUUUCGAGGAGCACUGAUCGGGUGUUUUGUAAAAUGUCCCUCCAUGUGGGUUUGUCUGAUGUUCUUCUCAAGAUCAGACUGUGCUCUGGGUUUUGGGGAGGAAGACCACAGAGGUAAAGUGCCAUUCUCGCCACAUCUCAUCAGAGGUGCAUGCUCUCAGCACGACUUACGGCUGGUGAUGUCGACCUUGAUCACCUGGCUGGGUGGGGUUUGCCAGGUUUCUCCACUGUAAAGGUACUUAUUACAGCAGCCCAGGACAAAGAUGACGGUGGCUGGGACCAGCGUAGCAGCAGAGAAGGUGGCGAGAAGCAGCUGGAUUCUACAUUAAUAAAACAUA
This is a long non-coding RNA of Diceros bicornis minor, 526 nucleotides long. RefSeq lists it as uncharacterized. The transcript has 3 exons. Lineage: Eukaryota; Metazoa; Chordata; Mammalia; Perissodactyla; Rhinocerotidae. The record is from RefSeq and is a predicted model, not a curated record.